RNAcentral lists this long non-coding RNA (3222 nucleotides) under Homo sapiens (human). RNAcentral's name for it is "HSALNT0047803". Lineage: Eukaryota; Metazoa; Chordata; Mammalia; Primates; Hominidae. The record is from RNAcentral.
GUAGAGACAGGGUUUCUCCAUGUUGUCCAAGCUGGUCUCAAACCUCUGAGCUCAAGCAAUCCUCCCGCCUCAGCCUUCCAAGGUGCUGGGAUUACAAGCAUGAGCCACUGCACCCAGCCCAAAUUCAUCUUUCAAGGAGGAUUUUUAGGUUUAUUAAUCAGCAAUCAUGGACUAGGAGUACCUCCUGCUCAAUCUAGGGAAGAGUAAUAGGAACAUGGAGUCACUUUUAAUCUGCAUGAAACUUCACUAGGGUUCAACUGCUUCAUCGGCAGAAGGAAUAAUUAGACAGAUGAUGAAGUCCCUUCUAGUGCUAAAACUUGGCUUCUUUGACACAAUCCACCAGAUUUCCAGGUUAGUGCCACAAACAUUCCCCAAGAGACUACUAGAGACCUCCUCUGUUGGGGUCAGGAUUGAAAUGAAAACAAGACACAGAUUCUGCUACUGAAGAACUCAUUAUCCUAUGGGUUAACAUGGAUUGAGAUCAACUUUCUCCUUUUGAUAUAAGAUAGUAAGGCACUAAGCUGGAGGUGUUUGGGAAGGAUUGACUAUAACAAAAAAAUAUAAGGUACUAGAGAAAUCUCUUUGUUUUAAAUAUAAAUAACUGCUUCUGUGUUUGCAAUCCUAGAGAAACAGAACAACUGGGUGGUUAUUUUAGAAGUCGCCCUGUUUUUCUCCCUUACAAAGAUAUACAAAUUCUACUUGAAGUAACUCCUCCAGCCCUACAAAUAGACAUUUGGCUACUUAGGUUAAAAAACACAAAUAUGAGAGCUAGCCAUCUUGGGCUAUUGACAAAGCAACCAAUCAACAAAUCUUGCCAAUGGUGUCUCUCGUCAGAGGAAAAGAAUAUGAGCUAAUGCACCCCAAAACUGUUUUCAUAUUUAUCACAAACUUUAGUAGCCUGCAUCAGUGAGGUAGUUUGAAAGAGACGUAAAGUUACAGAUGUGUGGACAUGAUAACCAGAUUCCACCUCCAUGUUUCCCAUGAUAGAAACAUACAUUCUACCGAAAGCAGGGAUGUCACUUUUAAUCCUACGCAUACAAUAAAGGUUCACCCAUCAUCCCUAACAUAUACACAUUUUGAUGUUUUCAUAGUAGUUGCAAGGGAUUUGCAGCAAAACAUCUAGCAUCACUUACUGUUCCCCUUUGAAAAGAUCAAACUGGGCUGGCCUUCAUAAGCACUGAAGCUGCAACCUUCAUCGUGAGCAUGAUAGACGUAGCUGGUCAUCAACAAUUUCAUAUGCUUCUAGCUGCAAGACAAAAGCAAUGACUCAGGCUGCACCCAGGGUGCAAUGGAAACACAGGGAAAAAUGUCCAAAUCAAACAGCAUACAUGCACAUUUUCCCAAGGAAAUGUUUCUCUUACAGUGUUCUACGGUUAUUUGCAUUAUCAUUGUUUUGCUUUGCUGUUUAAAAAAAAAAGUUUUGUUUUUUUUUUUUUUUGAGAUGGAGUUUCACUCUUGUCACCCAGGCUGGAGUGCAGUGGCACAAUCUCACCUCACUGCAACCUCUGCCUCCUGGGUUCAAGCGAUUCUCCUGCCUCAGCCUCCUGAGUAGCUGGGAUUACAGGCACGCACCACCAUGCCCAGCUAAUUUUUGUAUUUUCAGUAGAGACGGGGUUUCACCAUGUUGAAACCCCGCCAGGCUGGUCUCGAACUCCUGACCUCAGGUGAUCCACCCACCUCGGCCUCCCAAAGUACCGGGAUUGUAGGCAUAAGCCACCGCACCCGGCCACUGUUUAAAAUUUAUGUGCAAUUACCUAGUUGAUGGGAACCUUUACAAUGGAAGAUAUCUCCAUCAAGCCAUACUAGUGAAUAUGGCCAACAUUUGUCUGGUAGCAAAAAUUCAUAUGAAAAAAUUCAUUAGCGAUCUACAGGACUGGACUAUAUGAAACUUACAGGUAUACUUUGAAUACAUAAAAAGACUUCUAGCAUGGCCAAAUUAAGACCUCUAGAGAUUGUAAUACGUGAAGAGAUAACCCAUCCUGCAUACCCUCUGCCAUGUGUACUGAAAAAUAACAUUUUAUGUAUGCCAAAAUUAAAGUUGCUUAUGUCUAGACUUUUUAAUGGCAAAAUUCUAGAUAAUUUCAUGCGAGCAAACUUUUUUCACUUUUUAAUGCCUCCGAUUUACAAGCACGGGCUUUAACUGCCUGCUGGAUAACCCAGCGGAUGUUGGGUGGUCAGCUUCACCUCCUCACUACUAGCUGUGAGAUUAAAACGCAUACCUCUGUGAAAUUGCAAAUGAUGACGUGGCAUGGGCUUUUAACAAACUUCUCCAAGGGGAUACAACUCAUGGGUUUUAAAAAAUAAGUUAAAGGUCCUGCUUUGACCAAAAUUGAAGUAAUUUCAAGCCCACAGGUCAGUGGACCCCUGGAUUCCUCAACUAGGGUGAAGCCAAAGGGAUUCUGGCCCAAAAAACUUCAUGUAGAGCAAUUGAGAAGUUUCAGGCUUUUUGUAGGUGACAUGCCCUCCUUCUUAAGGCAUUACCCAGCAUGACUGUAUUUUGCUGUGACUAAACCCCAAUCCAGCCUCUAGCCCAGAGCUGAAUAUUUAAAAAUUGGAAGCCUGAAGACAUAUUACCAAUAAGUUGGGAGGCAGCUCCCUGAAGUUGCCUACGAACACCUGGAGAAGAGGAAGCACAAAAGCAAACAUCUAGCAGUGGACAUGGGUUGGAAACGAGACAUUCUUCUUGUCGAAUGACUAGUUACUUAACACUUAGUGACUAAUUAUCAGAAACCUCUUUCUGACUUGCUCCCUGUGAAUUGGCUUACGGUAUUGUUGAUUACCGGUUCAGAGCAAUCAGACACAGCAAAUAUUCUCCUUCUGCAAGUGGGUCUUACCUUAAAACAGGUCUCAUCCUAUGGUACAGCUUUAAAAAUUCUCUGCUUAAUGGAAAAGUUUGUUUGCAUGUUUAGCUAUAAAUGCAUUCAUCAAACAAGUACUUACUUUUUGCCUACUAAGCGCCAUAAGCUGACCUGGGCACUGAGGGGAUGUCAGUAAACAGGAAGGACAAGGUCCCUGCUCAUGCUGGGUCAGAGAAGAGUCCUAAACCCGGCGAACUGUGAACUGGACGUAUCUCACCAGGGAGGACACUUUCUUUCUUUUUUCUUUUCUUGAGAUGGAUUCUCACCCUGUCGCCCAGGCUGGAGUGCAGUGGUGCAAUCUCCGCUCACCGCAACCUCCGCCUCCCAGGUUUAAGCAAUUCUCCUGUCUCGGCCUCCCGAGUAG